GUGGGUGAAGAAGGCCUUCGGGUUGUAAAGCCCUUUUGUUGGGAAAGAAAUCCAGCUGGCUAAUACCCGGUUGGGAUGACGGUACCCAAAGAAUAAGCACCGGCUAACUUCGUGCCAGCAGCCGCGGUAAUACGAAGGGUGCAAGCGUUACUCGGAAUUACUGGGCGUAAAGCGUGCGUAGGUGGUCGUUUAAGUCCGUUGUGAAAGCCCUGGGCUCAACCUGGGAACUGCAGUGGAUACUGGACGACUAGAGUGUGGUAGAGGGUAGCGGAAUUCCUGGUGUAGCAGUGAAAUGCGUAAAGAUCAGGAGGAACAUCCAUGGCGAAGGCAGCUACCUGGACCAACACUGACACUGAGGCACGAAAGCGUGGGGAGCAAACAGGAUUAAAUACCCUGGUAGUCCACGCCCUAAACGAUGCCAACUGGAUGUUGGGUGCAAUUUGGCACGCAGUAUCGAAGCUAACGCGUUAAGUUCGCCGCCUGGGGAGUACGGUCGCAAGACUGAAACUCAAAUGAAUUGACGGAACUGUCU
This 532-nucleotide ribosomal RNA is filed under the name uncultured bacterium. RNAcentral's name for it is "bacterial SSU rRNA". It matches the Rfam family "Bacterial small subunit ribosomal RNA", at positions 401 to 924 of the family's 1533-position model. The record is from RNAcentral.